This 496-nucleotide ribosomal RNA is filed under the name uncultured bacterium. Its description in RNAcentral is "partial 16S ribosomal RNA". It matches the Rfam family "Bacterial small subunit ribosomal RNA", at positions 29 to 507 of the family's 1533-position model. The record is from RNAcentral.
AUGCACGCUGGCGGCGUGCCUCAUCCCUGCCAGUCGAGCGAACAGACGAGGAGCUUGCUCCUCUGACGUUAGCGGCGGACGGGUGAGUAACACGUGGAUAACCUACCUAUAAGACUGGGAUAACUUCGGGAAACCGGAGCUAAUACCGGAUAAUAUAUUGAACCGCAUGGUUCAAUAGUGAAAGACGGUUUUGCUGUCACUUAUAGAUGGAUCCGCGCCGCAUUAGCUAGUUGGUAAGGUAACGGCUUACCAAGGCAACGAUGCGUAGCCGACCUGAGAGGGUGAUCGGCCACACUGGAACUGAGACACGGUCCAGACUCCUACGGGAGGCAGCAGUAGGGAAUCUGCCGCAAUGGGCGAAAGCCUGACGGAGCAACGCCGCGUGAGUGAUGAAGGUCUUCGGAUCGUAAAACUCUGUUAUUAGGGAAGAACAAAUGUGUAAGUAACUAUGCACGUCUUGACGGUACCUAAUCAGAAAGCCACGGCUAACUACGUG